CCUACGGGAGGCAGCAGUGAGGAAUAUUGGUCAAUGGGCUUACGCCUGAACCAGCCAAGUCGCGUGAAGGAAGAAGGCUUUCGGGUUGUAAACUUCUUUUCGCAGGGACGAAACAAGUGACGGUACCUGAGGAAUAAGCCACGGCUAACUACGUGCCAGCAGCCGCGGUAAUACGUAGGGGGCAAGCGUUAUCCGGAUUUACUGGGUGUAAAGGGCGUGUAGGCGGGAAUGCAAGUCAGAUGUGAAAAGCACGGGCCCAACCUGUGGCCUGCAUUUGAAACUGUAGUUCUUGAGUGCUGGAGAGGCAGACGGAAUUCCUAGUGUAGCGGUGAAAUGCGUAGAUAUUAGGAGGAACACCAGUGGCGAAGGCGGUCUGCUGGACAGCAACUGACGCUGAGGCGCGAAAGCGUGGGGAGCAAACAGGAUUAGAUACCCGAGUAGUC
This 443-nucleotide ribosomal RNA is filed under the name uncultured bacterium. RNAcentral describes it as "partial 16S ribosomal RNA". It matches the Rfam family "Bacterial small subunit ribosomal RNA", at positions 338 to 795 of the family's 1533-position model. The record is from RNAcentral.